Molecule: ribosomal RNA, 253 nt
Filed under: uncultured bacterium
Lineage: Bacteria
Description: partial 16S ribosomal RNA
Rfam family: Archaeal small subunit ribosomal RNA
Source: RNAcentral
UACCAGCACCCCGAGUGGUCGGGACGAUUAUUGGGCCUAAAGCAUCCGUAGCCGGUCCUACAAGUCUUCCGUUAAAUCCACCUGCUUAACAGAUGGGCUGCGGAAGGUACUAUAGGGCUAGGAGGCGGGAGAGGCAAGCGGUACUCAGUGGGUAGGGGUAAAAUCCUCUGAUCCAUUGAAGACCACCAGUGGCGAAGGCGGCUUGCCAGAACGCGCUCGACGGUGAGGGAUGAAAGCUGGGGGAGCAAACCGG